UACGUAGGGGGCAAGCGUUGUCCGGAUUUAUUGGGCGUAAAGAGCGUGUAGGCGGCCUGACAGGUCUGCUGUGAAAACUCGAGGCUCAACCUCGAGAUGUCGGCGGAAACCGUCUGGCUAGAGUCCGGAAGAGGAGAGUGGAAUUCCCAGUGUAGAGGUGAAAUUCGUAGAUAUUGGGAAGAACACCGAUGGCGAAGGCAGCCAUCUGGACCGACACUGACGCUGAGGCGCGAAAGCGUGGGGAGCAAACAGG
Molecule: ribosomal RNA, 253 nt
Filed under: uncultured bacterium
Lineage: Bacteria
Description: partial 16S ribosomal RNA
Rfam family: Bacterial small subunit ribosomal RNA
Source: RNAcentral